GGAGCUUGCUCCUCUGACGUUAGCGGCGGACGGGUGAGUAACACGUGGAUAACCUACCUAUAAGACUGGGAUAACUUCGGGAAACCGGAGCUAAUACCGGAUAAUAUAUUGAACCGCAUGGUUCAAUAGUGAAAGACGGUUUUGCUGUCACUUAUAGAUGGAUCCGCGCCGCAUUAGCUAGUUGGUAAGGUAACGGCUUACCAAGGCAACGAUGCGUAGCCGACCUGAGAGGGUGAUCGGCCACACUGGAACUGAGACACGGUCCAGACUCCUACGGGAGGCAGCAGUAGGGAAUCUUCCGCAAUGGGCGAAAGCCUGACGGAGCAACGCCGCGUGAGUGAUGAAGGUCUUCGGAUCGUAAAACUCUGUUAUUAGGGAAGAACAAAUGUGUAAGUAACUAUGCACGUCUUGACGGUACCUAAUCAGAAAGCCACGGCUAACUACGUGCCAGCAGCCGCGGUAAUACGUAGGUGGCAAGCGUUAUCCGGAAUUAUUGGGCGUAAAGCGCGCGUAGGUGGUUUUUUAAGUCUGAUGUGAAAGCCCACGGGCUCAACCGUGGGAGGGUCAUUGGGAAACUG
RNAcentral lists this ribosomal RNA (578 nucleotides) under Staphylococcus sp. Its description in RNAcentral is "bacterial SSU rRNA". It matches the Rfam family "Bacterial small subunit ribosomal RNA", at positions 75 to 635 of the family's 1533-position model. Lineage: Bacteria; Bacillati; Bacillota; Bacilli; Caryophanales; Staphylococcaceae. The record is from RNAcentral.